AUCAGUGUGGCAGACUAGUGCAAUGAACUUAAGAUUCAUAUAUAAAUUUAUUAUUUUGCUGAAA
This 64-nucleotide transfer RNA is filed under the name Aconurella prolixa. RNAcentral's name for it is "tRNA-Leu". The record is from RNAcentral. Lineage: Eukaryota; Metazoa; Arthropoda; Insecta; Hemiptera; Cicadellidae.